Molecule: ribosomal RNA, 497 nt
Filed under: uncultured bacterium
Lineage: Bacteria
Description: partial 16S ribosomal RNA
Rfam family: Bacterial small subunit ribosomal RNA
Source: RNAcentral
GAUGAACGCUGGCGGCGUGCCUAAUACAUGCAAGUCGAGCGAACAGACGAGGAGCUUGCUCCUCUGACGUUAGCGGCGGACGGGUGAGCAACACGUGGAUAACCUACCUAUAAGACUGGGAUAACUUCGGGAAACCGGAGCUAAUACCGGAUAAUAUAUUGAACCGCAUGGUGCAAUAGUGAAAGACGGUUUUGCUGUCACUUAUAGAUGGAUCCGCGCCGCAUUAGCUAGUUGGUAAGGUAACGGCUUACCAAGGCAACGAGGCGUAGCCGACCUGAGAGGGUGAUCGGCCACACUGGAACUUAGACACGGUCCAGACUACUACGGGAGGCAGCAGUAGGGAAUCUUCCGCAAUGGGCGAAAGCCUGACGGAGCAACGCCGCGUGAGUGAUGAAGGUCUUCGGAUCGUAAAACUCUGUUAUUAGGGAAGAACAAAUGUGUAAGUAACUAUGCACGUCUUGACGGUACCUAAUCAGAAAGCCACGGCUAACUACGUG